This 253-nucleotide ribosomal RNA is filed under the name uncultured bacterium. RNAcentral describes it as "partial 16S ribosomal RNA". It matches the Rfam family "Bacterial small subunit ribosomal RNA", at positions 524 to 776 of the family's 1533-position model. The record is from RNAcentral.
UACGGAGGGUGCAAGCGUUAAUCGGAUUCAUUGGGCGUAAAGAGCACGUAGGCGGAGUGGAAAGUUAGAUGUGAAAUCCCGGGGCUCAACUUCGGACCCGCAUCUAAAACUCCUAUUCUAGAGGAUGGACGGAGAAAAGGGAAUUCCACGUGUAGCGGUGAAAUGCGUAGAUAUGUGGAAGAACACCGGUGGCGAAGGCGCUUUUCUAGUUUAUUCCUGACGCUGAGGUGCGAAAGCAAGGGGAGCAAACAGG